Non-coding RNA from Pelobates cultripes (western spadefoot toad), 6177 nucleotides. Lineage: Eukaryota; Metazoa; Chordata; Amphibia; Anura; Pelobatidae. The record is from the annotation of a GenBank genome assembly.
GAUCCUUGGUCUCAUUAUGGUUAGAAAAAUGCUGGACUGGGUGUUCAGCCAGCACGACCUUGCCUGGUUGGAUGAUAUCCUGCCCGAAAAGGAGAAGAAGAAAGAGGACGACAAGUCAAAGAAGAAAAAAGGCAAAGAUGAAGCAGAGAGUGAUGAGGUGAACUUUAACAGAGGUUCUAGGCAAAUAAAUGAUUCUAUACAGAAAUAAUAGUGGGUUCAGUUCCAUAUUGAUUGUAAUAAAUAUUAAAGGGUCACUAUAGUCACCAGAACAAGUACAGCUUAUUGAAUUUGUUCUGGAGAGUAGAAUCAUUACCUUCAGGCUUUUUCUAUAAACACUGUCUUUUCAGAGAAAAUGCAGUGUUUACAUUACAGCCUAGUGAUAACUUCACUGGCCACUCCUCAGAUAGCUGUUAGAGAUCCUUCCUGGGUCAUGGCUGCCUAAAAUGCAUCCAAACAUUCAGUAUCUCCUCCCUCUGCAUGCAGACACUGAACUUUCCUCAUAGAAAUUCAUUGAUUCAAUUCAUCUCUAUGAGGAGAUGCUGAUUGGCCAGGGCUGUGUUUGAAUCAUGCUGGCUCUGCCCCUGAUCUGCCUCUUUGUCAGUCUCAGCCAAUCCUAUGGGGAAGCAUUGUCAGCAGACUGCUUGUUUUUCUGAGACAAACAGCAUGCAGAGCUACAGCUUCAGGCUUGCAUACAGUAAGAUUUUGCUAUAUUUAUGCAGGCAUGAGGGGCUCAGGGGGCUAGAUGGUGGUUUUAACACUAUAGGGGCAGGAAUACAUGUUUGUAUUAAAGGGACACUAUAGUCACCAGAACAACUACAGCUUAAUGUAGUUGUUCUGGUGAGCAGUGGCCUACUAAUAGGGGGAGGGGUGGGCGCCCGGGUUCCACUCGUUCGGGAGGUGCCAUCCACCCUCUUAGCGAGAGCUACGGCUGAGCAGCAGGAGGAGGAAUGCGGAGGUGCACAGAGACAUGCAAUGCCGUGCUGUCAACAUUUGAAAUGGAGAGGGGGUACUGGGCAGUAAUUUUUGUAGAGGGGGGACUGGGCAGGGAUUUUUGUAGGGGGAGGGGCAGGUUUUUUUGUGUAGGAUGGCAGGGGAUUUUUAGAAGGGGGACUGGGCAAGGGUUUUGUAGAAGGAGACUGGGCAGGGGGGUUUGUAAAGAGGGGACUGGGCAGAGUUUUUUGUAGAGGGGGUUGCAGGGUUUUUGUAGAAGGGGGAUGGCAGGGGUUUUGUAGAAGGGGGGGUUUGUAGAGGGGGCUGCAGAGUUUUUUGUAGAGGAGCCAGGUGUUUUGUAGAAGGGGGGGCGGGCAGGGUGUUGUAGCAGACAAUAAAAAAAAAAAAGAAAACAUUUUUAAAAAAAUUAGUAUGUGUUUUAACAUUUCAAUUGUGGUGGAGGAUGCCAAACUCAGAAUUCACCCCGGGUACCAAAAGCUCUAGGUACGUCCCUUCUGGUGAGCAUAGUCAGUCCCUGUGUUUACAUUACUGCCUAGUUACACCUCCACUGGAAGUCACUCAGACGCGCUGCAUGGAGGCACUGAACUUUCCCUAUAGAUAUGCCUUGAGUCAAUGCAUCUCUAUGAGGAGAUUCUGAUUGGUCCAGAGUAACAUUUUGCUGCACUUCUGCAUUAGCCUCCCAAUGCUUUCCUAUGGGAAAGCAUUGGAUUGGCUGAGAUCGUCAAUUUUGAUGAUCUCAGCCAAACAGGUGGAGUGUGGGUGGAGCUAGCACCAGCAGUCUUGUGCGGUUCUGGAAAAGGGAAUGUUUUAUACAUUUUUAAGGGGGGUUAAUGGCAGAGCUGGGGACUUAAUCUGUUUUUUUUACUUUAUAGUUAAGAAAUACAUGUUUGUGUUCCUGACUCUAUAGUGUUCCUUUAAACAAAUUGCAACUAAACAGGAGAGGUGGGUUUGUUUUGCACUGUAUAGCGUUGGCACUAAGAAAUGUGUCACGAAUCUGCUCAACAUAUGUUACUUUUUGUCAACUUCUGAUGCAAAUAAUUCUCACUUCUAAUGUAGGAAAGAGCUAGCCAUCCUGGGGCAUUAAAUUCAGAUUCCUCUGCCAAUGGCUCUGAUGUGGAUCGAAGGUGAGUGGACCUAUCCCUUAUAAUGGACCUAUCCUUGUUUUACUAUUGGACAAUCAAUGCAAUUUAAAGAAAUAAAAAGUAUGAUUAUAUUUUAAUGUGAUGCACUAUAUAGACAGCUGUGUCCUUUCAACAUACACUCAAAAAGGUAUUCUUGCUCAAAGAAGGUGCCUUCUUUUUCUUCUCCCGUUUAUGUACUGUUAUCACUACGUGACUCUCCACUACCCUCUCACCGUUAGUUUCCCCUCUCAGUACAUUCUCCCAUAUCUUUGGGUUUAAAAUUAACCUUGAUAAAUCCAGGGCUAUGUCCCUAUACCUUAUGAGUGAUACAUGACCAAGCCAAAUAUGCCAAAACAUUGUAGUAGCUGGUAGCACCCUACCAUGUCACAGUAAAGUUCUAAUUACUGGCACUUAUCUUAGUGUGUGUCUAUCCUAUUUUGAUAAACUGGGUGCUUGGCAUUACUCCUAUAGAUUGCUGCUUUGCUAGAUGUCCCUACUUAAGAACAGUGUCAUUCUAUAUCUCUAUACUGUCCUCAUAUGAACAAGGAAUUAUAUGAAAAAUAAGUACACCUGUGCAGUAAUCAGAAAUCCUAUUACUGCUUUUACUAUCACACUAAGGUAGCUUUACAUUCUACUAACCUCAUAACUCAGCAGUCUGCUUGUUAAUAAUGACUCUUUGAUCUAAUGCCACAUUUUAAAAGCUAUACAAGAUUUAAAACCACAGUGUACAUUUCUUCUGGGUUUUCCAAUAUUGCACAUAGUAUUUCUGAGAAACAAAAGAUUCAUGUGGGAAACAAGAUUAUGAAAUACUAAAAGGGAAGUUUCAAAAAGUGCUACUUUAGAUCACUUUUAGCAGUUCUGUAAAAUAGUUUUCUAUCUUAAAGGGACACUAUAGGCACCCAGACUAAGGCAGCUAAUUGAAGUAGUCUGGGUGCUGUGACCCUUUUGCACUUAGUGCUGCAAUGUAAAACAUUGCAGUUCCAGAAAACUGCAAUGUUUACAUUGCAGCUCUAAGUCUGCCCUCAGUGGCUGUCUACCAGACAGCCACUGGGGGCACUUCCGGAAUCUAAAUGGACUUUUGGUCCUUUACCCGUUAUCGUCACGGAUCUCCAGUGUCUCUAGCUUUUCCCCAAAGGAAUGCAUUGAAUAAUGCUUUCCUAUAUGGUGGUCUAAUGCGCGUGUGCUGCCAUUGCCGCGCAUGCGCAUCAGGUCUCCCCCGCAAGCUAACGUUGGCGGGGGAGGAGCAUGGGCAGAGCCCACGGCUUUGUUUUCCUGGCAAUGGAGAAUCCCUAUAAUUACCAAACAGCUCAGAAAUUUAGGACAAAAUAGCAGAGCGACAAGAGGAAUUAGUUCAGAAAAUAUUUCAACUCCUUUUUUAGGCCGUAACUGUAAACCGCGUUGAAUUUACAACGUAAAAGUUACGUGUAUAAAUACUGAUCACAAGUAAAGUUUAGGCAUAAGUCAAUGAUGUAUUUCUUAUUUUUAUGCUCUGAAUGUGCUUUAUUAUGUAGCAUCACACAUGUGUUUCCUUCCCUUUACAGUAUUACACUGCAUUUGAAGAUAUCUUGCCCCUCGUCCCCUGCCAUCAGCUAUCCUAGGAGUGCCAUCGGUGCGGUCCCACAGGUCAAAAUCGAGAUGGAUUCAGAGUAUGACGACUCAGAUAUAGAGAGAAAUCCUAGAGACAGGGGAAGUGAAACCACUUUAUAACCUCUGCCCUGUUGUCAUCAAUCAAUACUAAAAUCUGUCCACUGGAAACUAUACAAGAUUGGAUGGAUUUCAGAUAAGGCGAUGCAAGAAGGUGCCUAGAGUAUCUAUAAAUUUAGGGGUGGGUGACUACCAAAUGCAUGACUAAAAGACAAUUUAAACAAGUUACUAAUGAAUUAAUAAUGUUUGGUAAAUGUGCACAGGACAACCACAUUAAAACCCACACUACUCCAUUCUACACGAGCGGGUGAGGUGCUUCCUGGAAUGUAAGCAGCGAAUCAGUAACUCCAAACGAUGUGCUAAUAUAACUACAGUAAUUUUUACAUGUAGAGCAGACCAUUGCUCACAAACAGUUCAAAGAUGGGGGAGAGGGUCAGCACAGGCAGAAACCAGUUGCAUGCUACACUGACCUAACCAAGUUAAUUUAUGUUUCUUCAGAGCUUGUAUAUGUUUUCAGAACAGUAGGUAUGCUCAAACCCAGACAUGAGAACUUACAGGAUGCUAGAGCUUCGGCAAGGCUGGUGUAUAGUGGUGGUACAAUCGCCAUAUUUUUGUAAAUUUGUAAGUUAAUGGAACUUAUGUGAUCUUAGGGCAAAAUUAACCAUAAUCACAGCAAUUUCUGAUGAUUAAUUCAAUGUUAUAAUUCAUUUUUUUUAUUGCAUACUACAAUAUAGCACUUUCAAUCCCAGUAAGUGAAGAAUUCACAAGUGCCCAACAAAAACAUGGUGGUCAGGGAACCAUAGGUGUUGACAUAAGUAGGAAGGCCCCAAACCCAAAGUGAAGCAAAACAAACUAAAAAGUUUAAAAGAUUCCCAGGCACAAAUAUAAGUGUAUCAUUUUCUUAAGUGAAAGUGAAUACAAUAGUGAAACAACUAUCUGCCAAUCAGCUACAGAAUAUUCAAGGUUUUUCACUAAAGUGAAAACUCUAAGUGAAUUUAAAAUGUAAGGCCAAAUUAAACUAACUGAAAGCAGAGAUUAGAUAUUUUUUUUCUAGUUUGGCUAUGUUGGCCUUAAAUAUGAAAUUCACUCUAAAAUCAUGACAAAGCCUACUACAUGUAUAGAUUCCUGUUCAGGUCCAGUUACAAAAUUACAUUUUAUAUAUUUACGCAACAUUUUUUAUUUUUUUUAUUUUACAUUUCAUUCAUUCAUCCAUCCAUCCUUUACAGAAAUAUUGGAAGUAUUGGAGUCUAUAUGGCAUGCCUUAUCAUGUGACUUUUCAAACAAGGUUUUUGUUGCAUGGUGUAAGCGGAAUUUGCAAAGACCCCCGAUGGUGACAUCACCGCUGGGGGUCCGGUUGCCGCCGGGGGGACUGGCAAAGAUGAGUUCUACUUAUCUGAACCUGCCCCUCAGGGGCACUGCCAUCUUCUUCCAGAGUGUCCUCUUCAGCUUCUUGCGCUUCACUGCCAGAAGCUGACAUAACUGCUGUAUUAUCAUGCAUGCGGUAGCUUCGCCAAGUGUCUAGAAGUUUCUGCAGACUGCAGGACUGAGAGAGGCAAGGCAAUGGAGUAAAGAUAAAUACAACUUUUAUUUCACACAGCGGAGGGGGGCAGUAAUUUAAAUAACUAGUAUGACACUGUAGCAUUAGGCAUGCAUGUUUCCUUUAAUAAUCAGCUGUAUGGACUAAUGGAAGCUCCUGUUGCUGUUUAAUGGUGUGAAUUAAGUGUCACUUUAUAUAACAUUUUAUAAGCUUCGAGUGAGAUUAUGUAGAAGUUCAAGCUACCUCAACUGUAACCAGCUAAAAGGAUAGCUAUUCUCAAUCAUUAUAUUGCUAAUGCACAUCUUUUUGAAAAUGUAAACUGUAUACAGACUGGAGGCAAUACAAAAUCUAUACAGGUAAUUCCUGACAUACUGGAGGUACAAUGCACAUUUAAAGGACCACUCCAAGCACCAUAACCACAACACACUUCUGUAGUGAUUAUGGUAUCAGGAGUGCCAUGUGUCUCCCAAGAUAUUAUUAUUAUUGCCAUUUAUAUAGUGUCAACAGAUUCCGUAGCGCUUUAAUAGGAGGGAUUUAAUUGUAAAUAGGACAAUUACAAGAAAUCUUACAGGAACAAUAGGCUGAAGAGGACCCUGCUCAGACGAGCCUAAAGUCUAUAGAAUAUGUAGUCAAAGCAUUCACAAAUGCUGCUUAACAACUCACCUGGGGUCCACCAAGCAACGGUCACCUUCUCCUGUGCCUCAGGUCAGCUCCUGCCUUGAGCGAAGCUGGCCAAUUCAGGGCUUAGCUCAUUGACGGAGAAAACUUGGCUCAUGCCGUCAGCCAUUGAGUUGCCCCUGAACAACAGGGCUUAGCACAGUGGAGCUUACAGAAGCUCUUUAACUCUGACUAUACAGUAGGAGGCAACUGAUACCACAAAUGUGCCACCAUCUUAAACGUUUAACAGCCCACACUGUAUUUGGA